Molecule: RNA transcript, 3763 nt
Organism: Daphnia magna
Lineage: Eukaryota; Metazoa; Arthropoda; Branchiopoda; Diplostraca; Daphniidae
Gene name: F-box only protein 21
Exons: 13
Source: RefSeq, a predicted model, not a curated record
AGUUUAAUGAAAUUUAAAUUGCGUUCACAGUCUGGCAACGUAAAGCACUUCCGCAAAACGGACAAAUUCGAAACCCCGAGACUCAGUUAGACGCUCGAGUGCCAUGCCAUACUUUAUCUUCAUUCUAAAAUGAGUCUAAAUCAGUUACCCGAAGAAGUGUUAUUACGCCACAUACUUUCAUUUUCAGAAAUUACUAUUUUUGAUUUGCAGAGUUUGAUGUUUUCCUGCCAUACUUUAUAUCGUAUUAUUCGGAAUUCGAACGAAUUGUGGAGACUAAAGUUCAGUACAAGAUGGCCUCAAAUUCCAAUUCAACACCAAGAAAGAAAUGAAAGGAUUUGGUAUGAAAGAGUAGCUCUUGCAAUAAUGGCAGUUAAAGAAGUUCACAACACUCUGCAAGAAAUCUCCUUUCAGUGCUACCCUUUAAACCAGAGUCCUUUGAGUGCAGCUGAUAAGUUGAUUAUGGGUCAUUUGGGUCAACCUCCCAUUCCUGAAUGUGUGCAACAUGAACUUGAGCUUAUGGCUAGUACCACAAAUGAAAAUUUGACUACACAGUACUAUGCUAGGGAUCUUCUAACCAAAGUAAAAAGCCGUCUGAUAGAACGUAAAUUACAAGAUUUGAUGGCACAACCAGAAUCUCAGAAAUCCCUGAUAGACGGUGCUGUACUCAUUUCCCAGUGGUUUGAGAUGGGCAAGCUUAAACAAACCAACCUAGGUGACAUUAGACAAGUUAUUGAAGACCUCACCGAAAGAGUAAGGAAACUUACCAAUUCUACGGUGUAUAGUGCAGAAUGUUUAUUUCCAACCGCCAAAGCAUGUGAUUCAUUUGAAAAAGCCAAAGAAAUUCUCGACUUGAUUCAUCUGGUUAUGUUUCGUGAUAUAGGCUUUGAACCAUGUCAUAUCUACUGGUUGUCUCUUGAUCAUUAUUGUUCUAUCACAGAGGUGCUUGAAACAAAGCGUGGCUGUCAAAUGCUUUUAACAAUAGUCUUCCAUGAAGUUGCCAGGGAACUUGGUAUUCCAUUACAAAUUGUAAUCUAUAGAGAAUGUUCACUCAGUGGAGAAAGGGACCUACUUCUAAGAUGGAGCAAAGAUCCAGGGGAAGUGGAUGCCGAAAGAAUUUACUACGUUGAUGUUUGUGCUAAGACGUAUGAUUCAUUAAAGCAGUGCCAUUGUUAUCCAGCCGCCAUGGGUCAACCAGCUUCUUCAGCCCAGAAAGUGUUCCAUCAAAUGAUGAGCACGAUAAUAGAACAAUUACGGUUUCAUUGGGGAUCGUUUUUAAAUUUCACUGGCUUAGGAAGAGACAACGAUUUUCGACUCCUCAUUCGACUUGCCAUUAUUAUUUCACCCCGAGAAAAGGAUUUAGUCCUGGAAUAUGCAAACCUCUGCUUAGCUUUAAGCCUUCAGCUGGAAGACGCAAUUCAACUCCUUCUGUCUGUAGGGCUUCAGGCUCAUCAGAUGAUGAAGAAGUGCGUGGAAAAGCUGUGUAGACAUCAAAUAUUAAUCAUUGCGGCGAAAUUUGUUUGUUACCGGCCUCUAACAGUAAAAUAUGCAGUCGGCCUCGUCAUGGAAUAUAAAUCAAUGCCCGAAUUCUACUUCAACCACAGCCAACCUUGUGUCAUUGUUUCGUGGAGCGCCAAAUUUCAGAAAUCCGAUCAAUGGAAGACUGUUCAUAGGAAAAGGAAGCCGAAGGGCGUUAAACAGCAAGAUCAGGCAUUCUACCACAUUUUGGUAAAAAAUGCCCCCAGUGGUUUUAUCGGAUUAAACGUUGCUGAAGAAACUUUAGAGCUUCCUCGUGAUAUCGGUCUUGCUCAUGAACAGCUGGGAUCUGAUUUCGGAGGCAACGGAUACUUUGAACGAUUCGACGGCCGCAGCUGUUGCAAUCGGCUAUGCAACUAAUGGAAUAAUGGAGAGGAAGUGGUUCGCAAAAGAAAAUGCGAAGGGCAUUGAUGGGCCCUUGACAGUCGUGGAACAAGCUAAGACAAAUUUUGGAGCUGCAAUGAACAGUGCAGUAUAUCGUUCAUAAUAUCGACUGACGGCUGUAUUGUUAUGUACCAGUUCUAUUCAGGUGACUGUCUCCUUUAGCCACUCGCUAACUUCUUCGACCCCAAGAGAAGAACCUGAUCUCUAGCCAUUGAUAACGUUCAAUCUAAGGUGUAGCUUAUCAUCUUCAUUAUGGUAGGGUUCAAGGUGAACUGUCUGCAUCUCUUUUCGACGAUGUAUUCAGAAGACCGUGGUAGCAAUGAAUUGCCGUGGCAAUGAUUAAACUAUCCAGACACGGCAAGUUUGAUUUAAAAAAUGUUAAUUCCCCGUUUGUCACUAGAUUUUGAGCACUUGCUUCUACUUAACACCGUCACGGUGCUGCUUAGUCAUUUUCAUUCAAAGCGUUUUGAUGGAAUUCCACCAUAAACUUGAUUAACAAAUGAGAAAACCGGAGAUGAAGAUGAUUCGUUCGUUCGUGUAGAUGCUUUUUGGAAGAUAUGAGAAACUUCCAGGAACAAAGAACCAAUUCCCUUACGUGAAACCAGUCGUCGACUGUUGGAGAACGGCCAGAUCAGUUCCACCACCUUUGGCCAACCUCAGCUCUAUCCCAAGCCAGAACGGCCCGGCAGCUCAUUCCGCCCAGCAUUUCACAACCCCAGAAUUGGCGAAGAAUAGAUUUAGAUCUCGAGGUUUUGGCUCCACUUCAAUUACUCCGGUGAUUCCCAAAGACAAAAUCACCCGGCCAUUACUGAAAAAACAAGAGAAAAGUCGACCAGAUUGGAAUGCGUCGCCAAAAGUAAAAGAGGAAAAGCCAAUCGUAACCAAGACCACAAUGAGCGGAACGAAACCAACUGACAUGGAAAAUGCGAAGCUGGUUCCGUUCAAAGCCAGACCCGUUCCUCGCAGCCAUUAUGACAAGCCUUUUCGACCAGUCUUGCCCAGUAAGAAAGACAAGAAAGGACAACAAAACGCUGUUUCCCAAUUGGCAAAUCGCAUGUGGCACGCCGUGGUGGAUCCAAUUUUCCCUCCAAAGGAAGUGGACGAUGAAAAACGGGUUAACGACGAAGCAACUGCUCAGGAUCCGGAAGACAAAGAAACAGGCAGCGAGGCUCCACACAGCACAAAACAUUCUACGUCGGAAGCAGAAACUGACAAAGUCUUACCGACGGAAGAUGCAGUUGAGCCACUAGCCAAUCCUGGACUUGUCAGCCGUAUGUGGCACUCGAUAGUCGACCCGAUUUUGAAUACGGGGACAAAGGAAUCAGUGGAGGUAGAGAGCAAUUCAAAGGGUUUGUCGGAAAACGAGGAAAUACCGGAAGAAGAUGGUGAUGGAGCCGCUGGAUCUCGAGCGAUGAUAAAGGGACAUCACAGGAGGCCAUAUUCUGACAGUUAUCUAUUGAACAACCGGUCAGUUGAAAUUGCGGAAGAAGAGGAAUCUGCCCGUCCUGGAUCAUUCCAAAGUGUUGCGGAGGAAGGUGAAAAACAAUCAGAAAUGGAUGUAGAACCAUCCGACGAACACCAUCAGAAGAAACAGGCGGAUCAUAAUCAAACUGAAGUAGCAGAUUCGUUUGAUGCCCAAACCACCAAGACUCGUAAAGAGAAGCGUCGCUUUGAAAGCAAAAAUUCCCCACGAAAAUUUACGGGAAACGACGAGUAAUUUUUGCCACCGAUUUUUUUGUCUAACUCAGCAGAAAUGUGGGUUUUACUUUGAUCCAGUGCAGAUUUUGUUCUGAUGUUUGCAGGUAUGCAAAUACAUUUGAUUCAAUUAAAAAAAAAAAAAACAUUU